GCUGGCGUAGCUCAAUUGGUAGAGCAGCUGACUUGUAAUCAGCAGGCUGCGUGUUCAAGUCCCAUCGCCAGCUCCA
This 76-nucleotide transfer RNA is filed under the name Desulfovibrionales bacterium. Its description in RNAcentral is "tRNA-Thr". It matches the Rfam family "tRNA". From Rfam's summary of the family: Transfer RNA (tRNA) molecules are approximately 80 nucleotides in length. Their secondary structure includes four short double-helical elements and three loops (D, anti-codon, and T loops). The record is from RNAcentral. Lineage: Bacteria; Pseudomonadati; Thermodesulfobacteriota; Desulfovibrionia; Desulfovibrionales.